This 1372-nucleotide ribosomal RNA is filed under the name uncultured bacterium. Its description in RNAcentral is "bacterial SSU rRNA". It matches the Rfam family "Bacterial small subunit ribosomal RNA", at positions 28 to 1381 of the family's 1533-position model. The record is from RNAcentral.
GAUGAACGCUGGCGGCGUGCCUAAUACAUGCAAGUCGAGCGAACGGACGAGAAGCUUGCUUUUCUGAUGUUAGCGGCGGACGGGUGAGUAACACGUGGAUAACCUACCUAUAAGACUGGGAUAACUUCGGGAAACCGGAGCUAAUACCGGAUAAUAUUUUGAACCGCAUGGUUCAAAAGUGAAAGACGGUCUUGCUGUCACUUAUAGAUGGAUCCGCGCUGCAUUAGCCAGUUGGUAAGGUAACGGCUUACCAAGGCAACGAUGCAUAGCCGACCUGAGAGGGUGAUCGGCCACACUGGAACUGAGACACGGUCCAGACUCCUACGGGAGGCAGCAGUAGGGAAUCUUCCGCAAUGGGCGAAAGCCUGACGGAGCAACGCCGCGUGAGUGAUGAAGGUCUUCGGAUCGUAAAACUCUGUUAUUAGGGAAGAACAUAUGUGUAAGUAACUGUGCACAUCUUGACGGUACCUAAUCAGAAAGCCACGGCUAACUACGUGCCAGCAGCCGCGGUAAUACGUAGGUGGCAAGCGUUAUCCCGGAUUAUUGGGCGUAAAGCGCGCGUAGGCGGUUUUUUAAGUCUGAUGUGAAAGCCCACGGCUCAACCGUGGAGGGUCAUUGGAAACUGGAAAACUUGAGUGCAGAAGAGGAAAGUGGAAUUCCAUGUGUAGCGGUGAAAUGCGCAGAGAUAUGGAGGGACACCAGUGGCGAAGGCGACUUUCUGGUCUGUAACUGACGCUGAUGUGCGAAAGCGUGGGGAUCAAACAGGAUUAGAUACCCUGGUAGUCCACGCCGUAAACGAUGAGUGCUAAGUGUUAGGGGGUUUCCGCCCCUUAGUGCUGCAGCUAACGCAUUAAGCACCCCGCCUGGGGAGUACGACCGCAAGGUUGAAACUCAAAGGAAUUGACGGGGACCCGCACAAGCGGUGGAGCAUGUGGUUUAAUUCGAAGCAACGCGAAGAACCUUACCAAAUCUUGACAUCCUUUGACAACUCUAGAGAUAGAGCUUUCCCCUUCGGGGGACAAAGUGACAGGUGGUGCAUGGUUGUCGUCAGCUCGUGUCGUGAGAUGUUGGGUUAAGUCCCGCAACGAGCGCAACCCUUAAGCUUAGUUGCCAUCAUUAAGUUGGGCACUCUAAGUUGACUGCCGGUGGCAAACCGGAGGAAGGUGGGGAUGACGUCAAAUCAUCAUGCCCCUUAUGAUUUGGGCUACACACGUGCUACAAUGGACAAUACAAAGGGCAGCGAAACCGUGAGGUCAAGCAAAUCCCAUAAAGUUGUUCUCAGUUCGGAUUGUAGUCUGCAACUCGACUACAUGAAGCUGGAAUCGCUAGUAAUCGUAGAUCAGCAUGCUACGGUGAAUACGUUCCCGGGUCU